AAGUAUAGAAAACUUAAAAACAAAAAAUAAUAAAGAAAUCGAUAACAAUUUAAUAAAUUAUGAAGACGAAGAAUACAUGUUAUUUUUAUCUUAUAUAUAUAAUGAUGUUAAAGCUUUUAUUGAAAAUAAUCAACAGUAUUACUUAAAUAACGUUUCUAAUUUUUUAGAUAUAGAAGAUUUUAUUUUAGACACUUGGGGUACUAUUUCUCGCCAGAGUUAUAAUAAUAUAAAAUAUAUUUGUGAUUCAAAAAAUAUAAAUAAAAAAAAAAAAAAAAAAAAAAAUAUACAAAGAAAAAAUACUAAUUAUAUAAAAACUAAAAAUGUAAGUAAUAAUAGUUGUAAUAAAUUUGAUUCAAGUAGGAAUUAUGUUUCUAUUGAUGAAUUAUUGACAACUGAAUCUGAGUCGAAUAUGGCCGACUCUUUUUUGAAUACAGUUGACGAAAGGUCAACUUCUCCCUUUCCUUCUUCUUUCUUUUUUAUACCACCGAUAAAUUUGAUCGUUUCACAAAUUCACAAAUUGAAUGCCUCUGAAAGUGUUACUAGUAAUAAUGAAAGUGAAAACCAGGUCGAACAUCAAAACAAACAUCAGAGAGAACAACAAAACGAUAUAUACACGUUUAUUAAAAACAAUAACUAUGACAAACACCCAUUGUUAAAUAAAGAUUACUCUGAAGAAGCAACUAAACCUGACCUACGUAAUGAUUAUUUAUAUCUAAACAACUUUGUUUAUAACACAAACUAUCAAAUUAUCAAAGUAAAUAAAGCAACUAGGCGUUACAAAGAUGAAACUUCUACUGAUCACACGGAGAACACUGAUGAAGGUUAUAUAAAUAUGUUCGAAAGUAACUAUAUUCCAAAUGAAGAAAUAACAAAUUAUAAUAAAUUGAAGUCCAAUACGAAUGACUCUUUUUCCAUCAAUAAGGAAUGCUACAACUUGGAAACAAAUGUUCAAGAAUAUGAUGUAAGUAAUCAAUUUAAACUUGAUGAUGCUAUUAUAAAUUUACAAAACACAUAUAGAAGUGACUAUGCUAAUUGUAAUAAUAACCCAGAUUAUAAUACAUCUAACUUAAGUCUUUUUUCUACAUCUAGUCGGUUGCACAGCUCCAACUUAAAAGAACAUCAACUCAGUGACCAACAUAAUAGUAUCGACAUGUGUAGUAGUAGUUUGUUAAAAAGCAAGUCACUUAAUUAUGUUUCAAGUAAUUCUAUUAAACCUGUAAUAAAUAAUUAUUUAAGUGAUAUAUCUUUUAAAAAAAAAGUCUCAAAUUCUGACAUUACAAAUGGUGACAUUACAAAUGGAGACAUUACAAAUGGAGACAUUACAAAUGGAGACAUUACAAAUGGUGACAUUACAAAUGGUGACAUUACAAAUGGUGANNNNNNNNNNAUGGUGACAUUACAAAUGGUGACAUUACAAAUGGUGACAUUACAAAUUCUGAAAUUAUCAGUUCAAUUUGUUGUCAAAACCAAAACGAUGUCAAUUACAAACAUGAGAUGGAAUAUAGCACUGACAUACCAUGUGAAGAAAAUAAAAAUAUACAUAACAACAUUUUGAAUACUACACAAAAAUACGAUAAAAUAAGCGAAUCGCAAGUAAUGCAAAAGCAAAAUCAAACAGCAACAAAUACGUUUUAUAAUGUCAACUCAGGUAUUGGAGAAAAACAAAAGCAGGAGCAUGAACACAAACACAAACACAAACACGAGCACGAGCACGAGCACGAGCACGAGCACGGACAAAGAGUCUCCAAAAUAAAUAAAGAAUUGUUCCAAAAAGAAUACCA
Long non-coding RNA from Piliocolobus tephrosceles (Ugandan red Colobus), 1781 nucleotides. Lineage: Eukaryota; Metazoa; Chordata; Mammalia; Primates; Cercopithecidae. The record is from Ensembl.